CAGGACGUGGCUGAGAUAGACAAGCAUCUCCCUUACACCGAGAAGACAUCCAUGCAAAUUGGAUCAUCCUGA
RNAcentral lists this transfer RNA (72 nucleotides) under Metaloricaria paucidens. RNAcentral describes it as "tRNA-Val". Lineage: Eukaryota; Metazoa; Chordata; Actinopteri; Siluriformes; Loricariidae. The record is from RNAcentral.